GAGAUGCAGUCUGAAUGUUCACGGUGGCUUCUGACAUGGCAGCGUGAAUUCUCAGCUGGGCAGUGCUGAGGGUUGAACCCAGGGCCUCGUUGCAUGUCAGGGCUCCAGUGCAGAUUUAGAUCCACCUUCUGGAUGCUUUGGUCCCUGAAACAAGGCAGCAGGCUCUUGCUAUCAAAAACCUGUCCCUGAGAAGGUGCUGGGAACAUUAAAUCUUCAUGUCCCGAGGACAAGAAAAUUAAAAGUACUCAUUGUUCAGUAGCUACUGAGGCUGAUGAGAGGCGGGACUGUGGAUUCACGUGACUGACGAUGACUGGUCUUCCUGGCCAUAUUACUUUCUCUUUCUUUUAUCAAGUACAGACAUGGCACCUACCUGGAGUGGUGGUAUGAGUGCCCAAUCUCAAGGAAACAACCUAGGCCACCUGUUCCCAUUUUUUUUAUUGCUGUUGUUACAUGUGUAUAUGUGACAUAUGUGCGUGUAUGUUCAUGUGUUUGUGGGUACA
This 500-nucleotide long non-coding RNA is filed under the name Mus caroli (Ryukyu mouse). RNAcentral describes it as "lncRNA (MGP_CAROLIEiJ_G0004933.1)". The record is from RNAcentral. Lineage: Eukaryota; Metazoa; Chordata; Mammalia; Rodentia; Muridae.